CCUACGGGUGGCAGCAGUGGGGAAUAUUGCGCAAUGGGCGAAAGCCUGACGCAGCGACGCCGCGUGAGGGAUGAAGGUCUUCGGAUCGUAAACCUCUGUCAGCAGGGAAGAACGGUCACUGUGCUAAUCAGCAGUGAAUUGACGGUACCUGCAAAGGAAGCACCGGCUAACUCCGUGCCAGCAGCCGCGGUAAUACGGAGGGUGCGAGCGUUAAUCGGAAUUACUGGGCGUAAAGCGCUCGUAGGCGGUAUGUCAAGUCAAGGGUGAAAUCCCCGCGCUCAACGUGGGAACUGCCUUUGAAACUGGCAAACUGGAGUGUGUGAGAGGAUAGUGGAAUUCCAGGUGUAGGAGUGAAAUUCGUAGAUAUUGGGUAGAACACCAGUGGCGAAGGCGACUAUCUGGCUGUACAUUGACGCUGAGGCUCGAAAGCAUGGGGAUCAAACAGGAUUAGAUACCCCUGUAGUC
This 465-nucleotide ribosomal RNA is filed under the name uncultured bacterium. RNAcentral's name for it is "partial 16S ribosomal RNA". It matches the Rfam family "Bacterial small subunit ribosomal RNA", at positions 338 to 795 of the family's 1533-position model. The record is from RNAcentral.